This 693-nucleotide ribosomal RNA is filed under the name uncultured Guggenheimella sp. Its description in RNAcentral is "bacterial SSU rRNA". It matches the Rfam family "Bacterial small subunit ribosomal RNA", at positions 797 to 1493 of the family's 1533-position model. The record is from RNAcentral. Lineage: Bacteria; Bacillati; Bacillota; Clostridia; Peptostreptococcales; Guggenheimellaceae.
GGGCUCGUAGGAGAUCUANGUGUCGGCGAGCGAUCGUCGGUGCCGGCGCUAAGCAAUAAGUAUUCCGCCUGGGGAGUACGGUCGCAAGACUAAAACUCAAAGGAAUUGACGGGGACCCGCACAAGCAGCGGAGCAUGUUGUUUAAUUCGACGCAACGCGAAAAACCUUACCAAAUCUUGACAUCCCUGUGACCGCUCAUAUAAAGUGAGUUUUCUCUUCGGAGACAUAGGAGACAGGUGGUGCAUGGUUGUCGUCAGCUCGUGUCGUGAGAUGUUGGGUUAAGUCCCGCAACGAGCGCAACCCCUAUCUUUAGUUGCCAUCGGGUCAUGCCGGGCACUCUAGAGAGACUGCCGGAGACAAUCCGGAGGAAGGUGGGGAUGAUGUCAAAUCAUCAUGCCCUUUAUGAUUUGGGCUACAAACGUGCUACAAUGGUCGGUACAACGGGUCGCUAACCGGUAACGGGGCGCUAAUCCAAAAAGCCGAUCUCAGUUCGGAUUGAGGGCUGCAACUCGCCCUCAUGAAGUUGGAGUUGCUAGUAAUCGCGAAUCAGCAUGUCGCGGUGAAUGCGUUCCCGGGUCUUGUACACACCGCCCGUCACACCAUGGAAGUUGGGGGCGCCCGAAGCCUGUGAUCCAACCAGUAAUGGAGGAAGCAGUCGAAGGUGAAAUCAAUGACUGGGGUGAAGUCGUAACA